AAAUAAUUUGACGUCAUAUAUAUAUAUAUAUAUACAUAUAUAUUUUAAAGUUUAUUUGGUGUUCCCCCCCAAAUUUUCCCCAACUAUAGUUCUUACUAACAUCUUCCGUGGAACCAUACAUGGAAAUAGAAUUGGAAAGAGAGUUAGAGCUGAUUGUGCUGGAAAAGGAGGAUAGACUGAAGACUGGUGGGUUUUUUUGUCAUGUCAUCUGAAAGAUAAAAUGGCAGAAAUAAACAAAAUAAAAUCAUAAGUAUUGGUGGUGAUUUGAGUGACAUCCUAAGAACAAAUUUAAUAUCUCAGGUGGAUAAAACGAUUACUAUUUAACUCAAAUAUUACUUUUCAGAUGCUUCGAAAGGGAUUCUCCAAGUACGUCUCAGAAAAAUGAGAGUCCCAGAAAUUCCAAUGAUUUGACAUUUCAAAAGAAUUAUUCUUGCAAGUCACUGCAAAGUAAAGAUCAGUUAGCACCCACAGAAUUUGGAAAGAUUGCAAUAAAAGAAAAUGAAGCAUCUGCAGCUGAAGCUGGAAGUGGGCCUGACACUGGCUCGAAAGUUGGAGUUCAAAUAGAAAAAUCAGUCCCUCAGAAGCAGUGUGAACCACCUCUAGGAAAAGAGAAUCAGAAAGAAGGAAAGAAAGAUGUGAAACAAGAAUUGAAACUUAAAGGACUAGACGAUGGAGAACAGGAAGGUUUCAGUAAAAAUGACCAGAAACAGGAUAAAGUUACUUUAGAAACAACCAGCAUACCAGAACAAAUGGCACCUAAGGAACAAGUUAAGUCUCUUUCUGCUCCAUUUUUGAACAAGAAAAGAACGCCUGAAGUACUAGAAUCCAGUAGCAAAUCUCCUGGUGAUGACAUACAUUCAAGUCCAGAAACUAAAUGGAAAAAAACUUGUAAAAAAACAUGGAUUGAGGAGGAAAAGGAAGUUUGUGGUGAAAUCUAUGAAAAGGGUAAUGUUGCUACUCCGACAAAAGACAAUAAGAUUGAAAAGAAUCAAAAAAAAUACAGAAACCUUACUUUGGGCAAAAAAAUUAAGGGAUUCUGUGGAAAAGGAGAAACAUAA
RNAcentral lists this long non-coding RNA (1058 nucleotides) under Sarcophilus harrisii (Tasmanian devil). RNAcentral describes it as "lncRNA (ENSSHAG00000023738.1)". Lineage: Eukaryota; Metazoa; Chordata; Mammalia; Dasyuromorphia; Dasyuridae. The record is from RNAcentral.